GACUACUCGGGUAUCUAAUCCCGUUUGCUCCCCUGGCUUUCGUGUCUCAGCGUCAGGAGUGGUCCAGAAAGCCGCCUUCGCCACUGGUGUUCUUCCAGAUAUCUGCGCAUUCCACCGCUACACCUGGAAUUCCACUUUCCUCUCCCACCCUCUAGCCUGGCAGUUUCCAACGGCGUCUCCCUGUUAAGCAGUGGAGAUUUCACGCCGGACUUGCCAAACCGCCUACACACGCUUUACGCCCAGUGAAUCCGAACAACGCUUGCCCCCUACGUAUUACCGCGGCUGCUGGCACGUAGUUAGCCGGGGCUUCCUCCGUGGGUACCGUCACUCCCGUAUUGUCCAUACAGGCAUUCUUCCCCACUGACAGUGGUUUACAAUCGUAAGACCUUCGUCCCACACGCGGCGUCGCUCGGUCAGGGUUUCCCCCAUUGCCGAAGCCUCUCGACUGCAGCCCCCCGUAGG
This 462-nucleotide ribosomal RNA is filed under the name uncultured bacterium. Its description in RNAcentral is "partial 16S ribosomal RNA". The record is from RNAcentral.